Molecule: long non-coding RNA, 107 nt
Organism: Etheostoma cragini (Arkansas darter)
Lineage: Eukaryota; Metazoa; Chordata; Actinopteri; Perciformes; Percidae
Exons: 3
Source: RefSeq, a predicted model, not a curated record
UACCUUAAAGCAGAGAUCUUCAACAGGGGGUCCGGGACCCCAAGGGGGUCCUCAGAGUAACUGCAAGGGGGGGCCACCAAAUUAUUGUUAAUUUUUUCGAAAGUUUU